RNAcentral lists this ribosomal RNA (877 nucleotides) under Paratylenchus sp. B PRS-2020. RNAcentral's name for it is "SSU rRNA". It matches the Rfam family "Eukaryotic small subunit ribosomal RNA", at positions 55 to 945 of the family's 1831-position model. The record is from RNAcentral. Lineage: Eukaryota; Metazoa; Nematoda; Chromadorea; Rhabditida; Tylenchulidae.
AUGUAUAAGUACAAACCUUCAUAAGGUGAAACCGCGAACGGCUCAUUAUAACAGCUAUAAUUUACUAGACCUUGAGCAACUACUUGGAUACCUGUGGUAAUUCUAGAGCUAAUACAUGCACCGAAGUUGUUCCUCACGGAGCAAUGCAUUUAUUUGAGCAAAACCAGGCGGCUUCGGCCGUUUCUGUUGAUUCAGAAUAACUAAGCUGAUCGCAUGGGCUUGUCCCGGCGACGUGUCUUUCAAGUGUCUGCCUUAUCAACUUUCGAUGGUAGUGUACGUGACUACCAUGGUGUUGACGGGUAACGGAGGAUAAGGGUUCGACUCCGGAGAAGGGGCCUGAGAAAUGGCCACUACGUCUAAGGAUGGCAGCAGGCGCGCAAAUUACCCACUCUCAGUUCGAGGAGGUAGUGACGAAAAAUAACAAGGCCGUUCUCUUUGAGGCCGGCCAUUGGAAUGGGUACAACUUAAACCCUUUAACGAGUAUCAAUGAGAGGGCAAGUCUGGUGCCAGCAGCCGCGGUAAUUCCAGCUCUCAAAAUGCAUAGAACCAUUGCUGCGGUUAAAAAGCUCGUAGUUGGAUCUGUGCCGGCGACGUGGUCCGCCCUAACCGGCGGUACUGCGCUCGUCGGCUUUGGGCCGGUCUUCGGUCGGUCGCCUUCACUGGCGGCCGCUCGUGGCUGGCUGGUUUACUUUGAGCAAAUCAGAGUGCUCAGCACAGGCGUCUCGCCGGAAUGUUCGUGCAUGGAAUAAUAGAAAAGGAUUUCGGUUCUCUUUUAUUGGUUUUGUGAACUGAGAUAAUGGUUAACAGAGACGGACGGGGGCAUUCGUAUUGCUGCGUGAGAGGUGAAAUUCUUGGACCGCAGCAGGACGGACUACAG